RNAcentral lists this ribosomal RNA (373 nucleotides) under uncultured organism. RNAcentral describes it as "partial 16S ribosomal RNA". It matches the Rfam family "Bacterial small subunit ribosomal RNA", at positions 527 to 896 of the family's 1533-position model. The record is from RNAcentral.
GUAGGUGGCAAGCGUUGUCCGGAAUUAUUGGGCGUAAAGCGCGCGCAGGCGGUUCUUUAAGUCUGAUGUGAAAGCCCACGGGCUCAACCGUGGAGGGUCAUUGGAAACUGGAGAACUUGAGUACAGAAGAGGAAAGCGGAAUUCCACGUGUAGCGGUGAAAUGCGUAGAGAUGUGGAGGAACACCAGUGGCGAAGGCGGCUUUCUGGUCUGUAACUGACGCUGAGGCGCGAAAGCGUGGGGAGCAAACAGGAUUAGAUACCCUGGUAGUCCACGCCGUAAACGAUGAGUGCUAAGUGUUAGGGGGUUUCCGCCCCUUAGUGCUGUAGCUAACGCAUUAAGCACUCCGCCUGGGGAGUACGGCCGCAAAGGCUG